Molecule: small nucleolar RNA, 189 nt
Filed under: Neurospora crassa
Lineage: Eukaryota; Fungi; Ascomycota; Sordariomycetes; Sordariales; Sordariaceae
Description: box H/ACA snoRNA ACA17
Source: RNAcentral
UAGCACGGAUGUCAAAUUGCAAUCUAGUCGCGUUCCCUCUUCAUGAGAGAACCAUCAAUGGCUAUGGUUGUGCCGAAGAUGUGCUGAAAUCAAACCUCACUCUGCAAGUAGCCUGGUAUCCGGGCACGUCGUCAUCAGGGACUCACUUUCUACGGCAAGGAGUCUGUUGCCGGCGGAUUGCGUACAUUU